RNAcentral lists this unclassified non-coding RNA (625 nucleotides) under Dontostemon perennis. RNAcentral's name for it is "sequence contains ITS1, 5.8S rRNA gene and ITS2". The stretch from base 274 to 429 matches the Rfam family "5.8S ribosomal RNA". The record is from RNAcentral. Lineage: Eukaryota; Viridiplantae; Streptophyta; Magnoliopsida; Brassicales; Brassicaceae.
UCGAUACCUGUCCAAAACAGAACGACCAGCGAACGAAAGAUCAUCACUUUCGGCGGGCCGAUGUCCCCAGCGGAUCUCGCGCCCGCCAAUUCCGUGGUUUUGCGUGAUGUUCCCAUGAAGAGUUUCGGCUCGAUUGGGUCAUGCGCUGGGCUUCCGGAUAUCACAAAACCCCGGCACGAAAAGUGCCAAGGAACAUGCAACCAAACAGCUUCCAUCCGCCGCCCCGGAGACGGCGUGCGUGCGGAUGCCAAGCUGCGAUCUAAAGUCUAAAACGACUCUCGGCAACGGAUAUCUCGGCUCUCGCAUCGAUGAAGAACGUAGCGAAAUGCGAUACUUGGUGUGAAUUGCAGAAUCCCGUGAACCAUCGAGUCUUUGAACGCAAGUUGCGCCCCAAGCCUUCGGGCCGAGGGCACGUCUGCCUGGGUGUCACAAAUCGUCGUCCCCCCCAUCCAUUCGAAGGACGUGGGACGGAAGCUGGUCUCCCGUUUGUUACCGCAUGCGGUUGGCCAAAAUCCGAGCUUAGGACGACCGGAUCGUCCCGACACGCGGUGGUGAAACAAAAGCCUAUUCGUUAAGUCGGUCGGUCCCGUCCGCAGCGAGCUCUCGAUGACCCAAAACUCUCAAC